AUACUACUACAACUUCUAUAAAAAGUUGAAAUAAAACCUUGACAAUACUAAUAAUGUCCCAUACAUAUUCCAUACCACAUUCAUACAGUGAUAGGUUUAGAAAAUCUUUAAAUAAUAUUUUAGCUUAGUAAAGUUUAUACUGGUAAUACAGUAUUUAACUAGAUAACAUACUGAAUAGAUGCAAUACGAUACAGUUAAGAUUUAGAUGAAUUAAAUUCCACAUACAACCAACUGUACUGAUAGUUGAAAUACCUACUUUACUUUAACUAUGAGCUAAGUUUAUUUGUACACUGAUGCAUUAACCUCACACCUCUUAAGAAAUACAAUAUGUACAAGACCAUAUACAGAACCGGUAUAUGAAAUACACAUACAAAAUAACCUAACCUGGAUAAUGAAAUCCUCAAUACACGAAGAUCGAAUUCCAUGAAUGUACCCAAUGUUUAACAUCCACAUUCAGCAAGGGGCUGAUAAUAAGGAAAAUGAUUAAAUACCAAUCAAAGUGACCUCCUGAAACAUAUGUGUUAGACUGCCUGACAGAUAUGCCUGACAGAAACCUUUAAAACUAAAUACACAGUAGAUAGAUAGUAAGCUGACCAGAGAAACUAAAGUAAACAGACAAAAGAAACUUAUGCAGAAUGCAAGCCCAUGGGUCAGAACCUGGCCUGACCUAGUAAGGUGGCUAUUGUUAUAAUGCAGGGCGCAGGGCUUGUAUAACUCUUAGUGUUUGUAGUGUUUGUAGUGUACUGUAUGUAAAGUUUAAAGCAAUAAUGAAACAUCUAAAAGAUCUAACUUACAUGUACAAAUACUUAAAACUUGACUUGGCCACAUUAGCAAAAUUUAUUUUCAUUUGACAAAAAUGAACACAAACACUUUCCUACAAAACAUUUAGAAGUAACUAAUAAAAUUGUUUAAAAAACAAAUGUAAUAAAUAACCUUUACAACUGUCCUGUAUAAAAAUCUGGACCCGGUUGUAUCAAAGCCUCAUUAACUAAUGGCUACAUUAAACCCUAAUGAUACAUUAAAUGCUUAAUGCACCAUUAGUUAAUGGCAUCAUUAAAAUCGGUUGUAUCAAACGUUUAUUAGCAUAUCAUUAUCUAAUGAUGCCUUAAUGUAAGUGGCUUCAUUAACCUGUCAUUAAAUUUGGUGUUUCCCCUAAAUAUUUCCCACAAUUCCUUGACGUAAACACGUACGCAUUACUUCCGGUCGUCUGUCAAAAUGGCAUCGUAUCCACCUAAACCUAGGAAUAGAAACAAGAAUUUCAACAGGUCCGAAAUUCAGCUUAUUGCCGAGUUGGUGGAGAAACACAUCUCCAUACUUAACAGUAAGUUGUGUAGCACCGUCACCCACGAAAGAAAGAAGGCUAUUUGGGCAGAGAUAACUUCCAAAGUUAACGCUCUCGGUGUUUGUCAGCGUACAACAAAAGAAAUAAAAACAAAAUGGACGAACAUGCACCAGACGGCCAAAAGGGAAUUCAGUAACAGACAGCUGGACAUGAGGAAGACCGGGGGAGGGCCCUGUAUUGUCCCACUUUCCACGACGAGUGAAAAUAUAGUGGACAUUUACAAGGAGUGUCCCAGUUUCACUGGACUCACGGGCAUCGAAUCGGACGAUCUAGUGAUGCAAAUGGGUAUGUCGCCUGCAUUCAAUAAAAUAUCGAUACACAAACUGUUGUAAGUGUUAAAAAAGUACUUUACAUGAUACAACGAACUAGUAGCCUAAUCAGCUGUUCAUACACGUUGAACAAGGCUAUGGGGAAUCGGGUAUUGCACAUGAUUUGAUGAUCAUUAAUCAAAAGGAAAUGAAAAAAGAACAUUUAACCAACCUUUUUGACAACACUUUCAAUUAAAUUGCCGCGUGUGAUAAAAUACACAGUGCAUAUUUACAUUUGAAAUGGUAUUUCUCAUCCGUUCUCCGACAGGCAGCCAUUGUGGAAAGAGAAGGGGGGGCAACUCUCAUUACCCCUAUUCCAAACCAAGAAGUUCAUGUUGUGUCUUUCGAUGUUAAGUUCAAAUCUUGACAUUCUUCGUCUCUAAAUGCAAAUUUUAUGUGAAGCAUUUAUACUUUUCAUGAGAGAAUUUUCUUAUGACAACGAAAAUUGGUUGAAAAAAUAUGUCACAUUAUAGCAGUCAUUUUUCUGAAGGUGGCUGCAGACAUAAAAUAGGCCGUGUCAUCACACAAAUAUAUCAUACAAUUCUAAUAUAUCAUUUCCUUUGGUAAUAAAACAAAUGAUAAUAACCCUGGUGCCGUACCUCUCCCGUUUUAACAGUGUAAAAAUAUUAAUUAUAUUAUUAACUGAUGUUCAAUAAGUGUGCAAAAAACUUUAUGUGUGUGCAGGAAGUCGCCGAUGUAAUUGGCUCUCCUUUGACUUUACACCUGUUAGCACGGGCUUUAGAAGAAAAUGUUUGCGAUGUCCCUACUCAGGAAGCGUCUGUGCCCAGUUGUUCCAGCACACAGAUCUACCCAGAAGGAGAACUGUCUGUCGACGCAUCUGCAUUACAUGACGACAUUAGUACAAUCGAAGAGCCUUUGGUCCAGACUGGGGGAAAAUCAAAUCGUGUCACCAAGAGAAAGAUCAAACAGGAUGACAUCACCAGACUGCAGUAUGAGGUUUUGCUUGAGCAGAAAAAGAAAGUCAUUCAGCAAACCAUGUACUCUGAGCUCAUGAACAAGAAGCUCCAAUUGGAGUUGGAUAGCUUGAUGCACCAUGAAUGAAAACGACAUCCUCAUGUUUGAAAUGUUACUAAAAGUUCAUUAAAAUACAAUUAGUUUGAUAGUGUGCUA
RNAcentral lists this unclassified non-coding RNA (2781 nucleotides) under Haliotis rufescens (red abalone). Its description in RNAcentral is "uncharacterized LOC125378614, transcript variant X2". Lineage: Eukaryota; Metazoa; Mollusca; Gastropoda; Lepetellida; Haliotidae. The record is from RNAcentral.